GAUAAACGCUGGCGGCGUGCCUAAUACAUGCAAGUCGAGCGAACGGACGAGAAGCUUGCUUCUCUGAUGUUAGCGGCGGACGGGUGAGUAACACGUGGAUAACCUACCUAUAAGACUGGGAUAACUUCGGGAAACCGGAGCUAAUACCGGAUAAUAUUUUGAACCGCAUGGUUCAAAAGUGAAAGACGGUCUUGCUGUCACUUAUAGAUGGAUCCGCGCUGCAUUAGCUAGUUGGUAAGGUAACGGCUUACCAAGGCAACGAUGCAUAGCCGACCUGAGAGGGUGAUCGGCCACACUGGAACUGAGACACGGUCCAGACUCCUACGGGAGGCAGCAGUAGGGAAUCUUCCGCAAUGGGCGAAAGCCUGACGGAGCAACGCCGCGUGAGUGAUGAAGGUCUUCGGAUCGUAAAACUCUGUUAUUAGGGAAGAACAUAUGUGUAAGUAACUGUGCACAUCUUGACGGUACCUAAUCAGAAAGCCACGGCUAACUACGUGCCAGCAGCCGCGGUAAUACGUAGGUGGCAAGCGUUAUCCGGAAUUAUUGGGCGUAAAGCGCGCGUAGGCGGUUUUUUAAGUCUGAUGUGAAAGCCCACGGCUCAACCGUGGAGGGUCAUUGGAAACUGGAAAACUUGAGUGCAGAAGAGGAAAGUGGAAUUCCAUGUGUAGCGGUGAAAUGCGCAGAGAUAUGGAGGAACACCAGUGGCGAAGGCGACUUUCUGGUCUGUAACUGACGCUGAUGUGCGAAAGCGUGGGGAUCAAACAGGAUUAGAUACCCUGGUAGUCCACGCCGUAAACGAUGAGUGCUAAGUGUUAGGGGGUUUCCGCCCCUUAGUGCUGCAGCUAACGCAUUAAGCACUCCGCCUGGGGAGUACGACCGCAAGGUUGAAACUCAAAGGAAUUGACGGGGACCCGCACAAGCGGUGGAGCAUGUGGUUUAAUUCGAAGCAACGCGAAGAACCUUACCAAAUCUUGACAUCCUUUGACAACUCUAGAGAUAGAGCCUUCCCCUUCGGGGGACAAAGUGACAGGUGGUGCAUGGUUGUCGUCAGCUCGUGUCGUGAGAUGUUGGGUUAAGUCCCGCAACGAGCGCAACCCUUAAGCUUAGUUGCCAUCAUUAAGUUGGGCACUCUAAGUUGACUGCCGGUGACAAACUGGAGGAAGGUGGGGAUGACGUCAAAUCAUCAUGCCCCUUAUGAUUUGGGCUACACACGUGCUACAAUGGACAAUACAAAGGGCAGCGAAACCGCGAGGUCAAGCAAAUCCCAUAAAGUUGUUCUCAGUUCGGAUUGUAGUCUGCAACUCGACUACAUGAAGCUGGAAUCGCUAGUAAUCGUAGAUCAGCAUGCUACGGUGAAUACGUUCCCGGGUCU
This 1372-nucleotide ribosomal RNA is filed under the name uncultured bacterium. RNAcentral's name for it is "bacterial SSU rRNA". It matches the Rfam family "Bacterial small subunit ribosomal RNA", at positions 28 to 1381 of the family's 1533-position model. The record is from RNAcentral.